UACGGAGGGUGCAAGCGUUGUCCGGAUUUAUUGGGUUUAAAGGGUGCGUAGGCGGCCUCUUAAGUCAGUGGUGAAAGCCCGCGGCUCAACCGCGGAACUGCCAUUGAUACUGGGAGGCUUGAGUACAGACGAGGUAGGCGGAAUUGAAGAUGUAGCGGUGAAAUGCUUAGAUAUCUUCAAGAACACCGAUUGCGUAGGCAGCUUACUAGGCUGUAACUGACGCUGAGGCACGAAAGCGUGGGGAGCAAACAGG
RNAcentral lists this ribosomal RNA (253 nucleotides) under uncultured bacterium. RNAcentral describes it as "partial 16S ribosomal RNA". It matches the Rfam family "Bacterial small subunit ribosomal RNA", at positions 524 to 776 of the family's 1533-position model. The record is from RNAcentral.